AUCCUGGCUCAGGAUGAACGCUGGCGGCGUGCCUAAUACAUGCAAGUCGAACGCACAGCGAAAGGUGCUUGCACCUUUCAAGUGAGUGGCGAACGGGUGAGUAACACGUGGAUAACCUACCUCAAGGUUGGGGAUAACAUUUGGAAACAGAUGCUAAUACCGAAUAAAACUUAGUAUCGCAUGAUACCAGGUUAAAAGGCGCUACGGCGUCACCUAGAGAUGGAUCCGCGGUGCAUUAGUUAGUUGGUGGGGUAAAGGCUUACCAAGACAAUGAUGCAUAGCCGAGUUGAGAGACUGAUCGGCCACAUUGGGACUGAGACACGGCCCAAACUCCUACGGGAGGCUGCAGUAGGGAAUCUUCCACAAUGGGCGAAAGCCUGAUGGAGCAACGCCGCGUGUGUGAUGAAGGCUUUCGGGUCGUAAAGCACUGUUGUAUGGGAAGAACAGCUAGAGUAGGGAAUGACUUUAGUUUGACGGUACCAUACCAGAAAGGGACGGCUAAAUACGUG
Molecule: ribosomal RNA, 509 nt
Filed under: uncultured bacterium
Lineage: Bacteria
Description: bacterial SSU rRNA
Rfam family: Bacterial small subunit ribosomal RNA
Source: RNAcentral